RNAcentral lists this ribosomal RNA (473 nucleotides) under uncultured bacterium. RNAcentral describes it as "partial 16S ribosomal RNA". It matches the Rfam family "Bacterial small subunit ribosomal RNA", at positions 28 to 507 of the family's 1533-position model. The record is from RNAcentral.
GAUAAACGCUGGCGGCGCACAUAAGACAUGCAAGUUGAACGGACUUAAUCGAAAUAUUUAUAUUUUGAAGCGGUUAGUGGCGGACUGGUGAGUAACGCGUAAGGAACCUGCCUAUUAGAGGGGAAUAACAGUGAGAAAUCAUUGCUAAUACCGCAUAUGCCAUAGAUAUCACAUGAUAACAGUGGGAAAGGAGCAAUCCGCUAAUAGAUGGCCUUGCGUCUGAUUAGAUAGUUGGUGGGGUAACGGCCUACCAAGUCGACGAUCAGUAGCCGGACUGAGAGGUUGAACGGCCACAUUGGGACUGAGAUACGGCCCAGACUCCUACGGGAGGCAGCAGUCGGGAAUAUUGCGCAAUGGAGGAAACUCUGACGCAGUGACGCCGCGUAUAGGAAGAAGGUUUUCGGAUUGUAAACUACUGUCGUUAGGGAAGAGGAAGGACAGUACCUAAGGAGGAAGCUCCGGCUAACUACGUG